RNAcentral lists this ribosomal RNA (253 nucleotides) under uncultured bacterium. RNAcentral describes it as "partial 16S ribosomal RNA". It matches the Rfam family "Bacterial small subunit ribosomal RNA", at positions 524 to 776 of the family's 1533-position model. The record is from RNAcentral.
UACGUAGGGUGCGAGCGUUAAUCGGAAUUACUGGGCGUAAAGCGUGCGUAGGCGGUUCGUUAAGUUCGUUGUGAAAGCCCCGGGCUCAACCUGGGAACUGCAAUGGAAACUGGCGGGCUUGAGUGUGGCAGAGGGGGGUGGAAUUCCGCGUGUAGCAGUGAAAUGCGUAGAGAUGCGGAGGAACACCGAUGGCGAAGGCAGCCCCCUGGGCUAAGACUGACGCUCAGGCACGAAAGCGUGGGGAGCAAACAGG